UACAUCUUUAUUUUGACAGAAAGACAGCCGGGAGCUUUCUAAAGCAUUCAGUCGCUGAGACUUCCGCUCAGGGCUCCUCGUAUUUUUGUUUUUGACUCUCAGAGCCUUUUUUGAUUGGCUGAAAGAUAUAAUAGCUUUGAUAAGGGUAUGUUUGUAGCAGAAAUCGUAGACAAAAACAAAGCCGUCCUUAAAUAUGGUUAAUGGCCCCAGAGUGUUGGGAUGAAAGAAAAUAAUAAGUUUUGAAUACAACACAAGUCUUGGGUCUUAUCCUGGGGGAUUUAAUUAGAAUCCUUUUUGUCGUUAAUCGUAAUCUUCUUUUACAGGAAUAUUAUCCACUAGUAGAGUAUCAGAGGCAUCAUUAAGGAGAUGGUAAUUGUUUUCUUUGCAGUGUAAUUGUUUACAUCGUAAAAAGGGGCUAAAGAAUCUUUAAAAUGAGCAUUUUAAUGGCCUUUCUGCUAAUAUAUUUAUCCGUGGAAAAUAAAGGACCAAUCGACCAAUUGAUAUCGCGGGGGCGAGGCUAGAUUGAUCCCCGAAUAAAAGCCGAAAUUGAAAUAUACCUCAAAUAUAAGAUCGUAGUUGGAUCUUUAUUUCUCUAAUUGCAAAGGAAGAUGGGAGGAAAGUUCGGUGGUGUGAUUUCAAGAUGUUGUGGUCAGACCUGUUUCCAUGACAGAUUUUAAGGGAUCAUAUCUUCCGGAAGAAUUCAUUGUGUUGUAAAGUUUUGUUCAGGUAAGACAGAGGCCCUCGGAUGAUUAACUUGAACAUAUAUAUAUAUAUAUAUAUAUAUAUAUAUAUAUAUAUAUA
This is a long non-coding RNA of Nematostella vectensis (starlet sea anemone), 801 nucleotides long. RefSeq lists it as uncharacterized. The record is from RefSeq and is a predicted model, not a curated record. Lineage: Eukaryota; Metazoa; Cnidaria; Anthozoa; Actiniaria; Edwardsiidae. The transcript is spliced from 3 exons.